AUGUUACCUGUUCUAAAAUUUGUUCUCUUGCCAUCAGUGCUCCUACUGGCAUCAGCUUCACGUUUCCCGGCAUUGGCAUGCAACAAUGAGACUGAUCUAGAAGCCCUGCUAGCAUUAAAGGCGGGUCUAAGCCGUCACUCAGACGCACUAGAUUCAUGGAACACAACUACUGACUUUCGCCAAUGGCAUGGUGUCAGCUGCAGCCUCAAUCAUGGGCAAAGUGUCUCGGAACUUAAUCUCUCCUCGGCGGGGCUUCGUGGAUAUAUAGCCCCUUCCCUGGGGAACCUCACUUACCUGAGAAGUCUAGAUCUCAGCUACAAUCUAUUGCAUCGUGAAAUCCCAAGGACCAUUGGGCAGUUGUCCCAAAUGUCUUAUCUUGACCUAAAAAACAAUUCCCUCCAGGGAGAAAUUCCUUGGACAAUUGGCCAGCUACGACAGUUAUCGCACCUCUAUCUCUCAAAUAAUUCAACUGAAGGUGGGAUCACGUAUGGCCUGAGGAACUGCACCCGUCUUGUCAGCAUCAAACUUGACCUGAACAAGCUCCACCAAGAAAUCCCUGAUUGGCUUGGAGGCUUGUCAAGGAUUGAGGUCAUGUCACUAGGGAAGAACAAGUUCACAGGGAUCAUCCCACCAUCACUUGGCAACUUAUCAUCGCUGCGGAUAUUGAACAUCAAUGACAACCAGCUGAGUGGUCCGAUUACUGAGAGUCUUAGCAGGAUCAGUAAGCUUGAGAUGCUAGCACUGCAAGUAAACCAACUCUCAGGCACCAUCCCAAGAACUGUCUUCAACAUGUCCUCGCUCAUCCACAUUGGUCUGGAGAUGAACCAGCUAAGCGGCACACUUCCCUCCAAUUUGGGCAAUGGACUACCAAAAAUCAAAUACCUUAUCCUUGCUUUGAACCAUUUCACAGGAAGAAUUACAGCUUCACUUGCAAAUGCAACCAUGAUUCAGUUAAUUGACCUCUCUGGUAACAACCUCACUGGAUUUGUGCCUCCAGAGAUUGGAACACUCUGCCUGAACUUCCUGAUUCUUACUGGAAACCAGCUUAAGUCAAGCACUGUCCAGGACUGGGAGUUCAUCACUUCAUUAACAAAUUGUACAAGUGUUCGUGGUGUCAUAUUGCAACACAAUAGGUUUAGUGGUGUGCUUCCAAGUUCUAUCGCAAACCUGUCCAGGCAACUCGAAAUAUUUGAUGUUAGUUUCAAUGAGAUUUAUGGCAAGAUACCAGUUGGCAUUGGCAACUUCCCAAAUCAAAUCAAGCUCGAACUACUCUCUAGCAAUUGAUUUACGGGUGCCAUACCAGACAUCAUAGGAAAGUUGAAAAUGCUCCAGUGGUUGACACUCGAGAAUAACCAUAUUUCAGGAGCAAUGCCAUCCUCGCUCGGGAACUUAACACAGUUGCAGCAUCUUUCAGUAGCUAACAAUGUCUUGGAAGGAUAUCUUCCAGCGAACCUUGGAAAUCUACAACGUCUUGUUAUUGCAAACUUUUCAAACAAUGUGCUUUCAGGUCCAUUACCUAGAGAGAUUUUUAGCCUUUCAUCCUUGUCAUACAUUCUGGAUUUGUCAAGGAAUCAUUUCAGUAGUCAUCUUCCAUCCCAAGUAGGUGGCCUCACAAAGCUCACAUACUUGUACAUCCAUGAGAACAACCUAUCUGGGCCGCUGCCAGAUGCUCUCAGCAAUUGUGAGAGCUUGAUGGAGCUCUGUUUGGAUGGUAACUACUUCAAUGGUAUCAUUCCUAUGUCCAUAAGCAGAAUGCGAGGCUUGGUACUGCUGAAUUUGACCAAAAACGCGCUCACAGGUGCAAUCCCUCAAGAGAUAGGACUCAUGAAUGGCCUGAAAGAACUGUACCUUGCACACAAUAAUUUGUCUGCACAGAUUCCCGAGACCUUGGAAAGCGUGACAUCACUUUACCGGCUUGACAUAUCCUUCAACCUUCUUGAUGGGCAAGUCCCAGCACGCGAUGUGUUUGUCAAUUUGACCGGAUUCUUAUUUGAUGGGAAUGAUAAGCUGUGUGGUGGUAUUUCUGAGUUGCGUUUGCCUUCAUGCCCAACCAGACCAGUUGUGCACAAUCAAAGAAUGACACGAGUUGUUCGAAAUGCAGUGAUUUGUAGUGUUAGUAUUGUCUUACUUCUCUGCUUGAUCCUGGCACUAGUUGUCUUCUCAAAAAAGAAAUUAAGACUACCAUCUAUCAGAACAGCACCAUUAGCUCCGUCGUUCAUGGAUGACAUGUAUCCUCGAGUUUCUUACUCAGACCUGGCCCAGGCAACAGAUGGCUUCACAGACAACAAUAUAGUUGGCACAGGACCGUAUGGAUGUGUUUAUAAGGGUAGGAUGCUACUCAAAGAGUCUGUAAUUACUGUCGCUGUGAAGGUUUUUGACCCUGAGCAAUCUGGAUCUUCAAAAAGUUUUGUGGCUGAGUGUAAGGCACUUAGCAAAAUUCGCCACCGCAAUUUGGUUGGCAUCAGAACUUGCUACUCUGACUUGAACCAAAAUGACUUCAAAGCCAUUGUAUUUGAUUUCAUGCCUCACGGGGAUCUUGGUAAGUGGUUACAUCAGGACACAUGUGCACCCAAUCCAGUGAAAGUUCUAACACUAAUGCAGAGACUGAGCAUUGCUGCUGAUCUUGCCGUGGCACUAGACUAUUUGCACAACAACUGCCAGCCAACAAUAGUUCACUGUGACUUGAAGCCCAGUAACAUUCUUCUUGGGGAGGGCAUGGUUGCUCAUGUUGGGGACUUUGGCCUUGCGAAGAUGCUCACUAAUCCAGAAGGCGAGCAAUUGAUCAAUUCGAAGAGUUCGGUGGUGGGAACAAUUGGAUAUGUUGCUCCAGAACAUGGUGAAGGUGGUCAUAUAUCUCCAUGUGGGGAUGUCUAUAGCUUUGGUAUCGUGCUCCUUCAGAUGUUUACAGCAAAGACGCCUACAGAUGCAAUGUUUACAGGUGGAUUUACCUUACUAGAGUAUGCAAAGAUGGCAUAUCCAACACAACCGAUGGAGAUUAUUGACCCUCUUCUGCUAUCAGUUGAGAAUACACGGGGAGAUAUCAAUAGCAUCAUGUACUUUGUCACAAGACUUCUAGAAUGCAGUAGGAAAAGACCAACUGAAAGGUUGUCCACCAGAGAUGUUGUAGCAAGAUGA
This 3135-nucleotide ribosomal RNA is filed under the name Triticum aestivum (bread wheat). RNAcentral's name for it is "partial small subunit ribosomal RNA". Lineage: Eukaryota; Viridiplantae; Streptophyta; Magnoliopsida; Poales; Poaceae. The record is from RNAcentral.